This 497-nucleotide ribosomal RNA is filed under the name uncultured bacterium. Its description in RNAcentral is "partial 16S ribosomal RNA". It matches the Rfam family "Bacterial small subunit ribosomal RNA", at positions 28 to 507 of the family's 1533-position model. The record is from RNAcentral.
GAUGAACGCUGGCGGCGUGCCUAAUACAUGCAAGUCGAGCGAACAGACGAGGAGCUUGCUCCUCUGACGUUAGCGGCGGACGGGUGAGUAACACGUGGAUAACCUACCUAUAAGACUGGGAUAACUUCGGGAAACCGGAGCUAAUACCGGAUAAUAUAUUGAACCGCAUGGUUCAAUAGUGAAAGACGGUUUUGCUGUCACUUAUAGAUGGAUCCGCGCCGCAUUAGCUAGUUGGUAAGGUAACGGCUUACCAAGGCAACGAUGCGUAGCCGACCUGAGAGGGUGAUCGGCCACACUGGAACUGAGACACGGUCCAGACUCCUACGGGAGGCAGCAGUAGGGAAUCUUCCGCAAUGGGCGAAAGCCUGACGGAGCAACGCCGCGUGAGUGAUGAAGGGCUUCGGAUCGUAAAACUCUGUUAUUAGGGAAGAACAAAUGUGUAAGUAACUAUGCACGUCUUGACGGUACCUAAGCAGAAAGCCACGGCUAACUACGUG